UAGGGAAUCUUCGGCAAUGGACGAAAGUCUGACCGAGCAACGCCGCGUGAGUGAAGAAGGUUUUCGGAUCGUAAAACUCUGUUGUUAGAGAAGAACAAGGACGUUAGUAACUGAACGUCCCCUGACGGUAUCUAACCAGAAAGCCACGGCUAACUACGUGCCAGCAGCCGCGGUAAUACGUAGGUGGCAAGCGUUGUCCGGAUUUAUUGGGCGUAAAGCGAGCGCAGGCGGUUUCUUAAGUCUGAUGUGAAAGCCCCCGGCUCAACCGGGGAGGGUCAUUGGAACCUGGGAGACUGGAGUGCAGAAGAGGAGAGUGGAAUUCCAUGUGUAGCGGUGAAAUGCGUAGAUAUAUGGAGGAACACCAGUGGCGAAGGCGGCUCUCUGGUCUGUAACUGACGCUGAGGCUCGAAAGCGUGGGGAGCAAACAGG
RNAcentral lists this ribosomal RNA (429 nucleotides) under Gemmatimonadota bacterium. Its description in RNAcentral is "Gemmatimonadetes bacterium partial 16S ribosomal RNA". It matches the Rfam family "Bacterial small subunit ribosomal RNA", at positions 355 to 776 of the family's 1533-position model. Lineage: Bacteria; Pseudomonadati; Gemmatimonadota. The record is from RNAcentral.